Molecule: transfer RNA, 77 nt
Filed under: Bacteroidales bacterium
Lineage: Bacteria; Pseudomonadati; Bacteroidota; Bacteroidia; Bacteroidales
Description: tRNA-Asn
Rfam family: tRNA
About the family: Transfer RNA (tRNA) molecules are approximately 80 nucleotides in length.
Source: RNAcentral
UCCUCAGUAGCUCAGCUGGUUAGAGCGGCGGACUGUUAAUCCGUAGGUCGCAGGUUCGAUCCCUGCCUGGGGAGCCC